RNAcentral lists this transfer RNA (69 nucleotides) under Ictidomys tridecemlineatus (thirteen-lined ground squirrel). Its description in RNAcentral is "Spermophilus tridecemlineatus (thirteen-lined ground squirrel) tRNA". It matches the Rfam family "tRNA". Rfam says of the family: Transfer RNA (tRNA) molecules are approximately 80 nucleotides in length. The record is from Rfam by way of RNAcentral. Lineage: Eukaryota; Metazoa; Chordata; Mammalia; Rodentia; Sciuridae.
GGGAUUGUGGCUCAGUGGUAGAGCUCUUGCCUAGCACGUGUGAGGGCCUGGGUUCGAUCCUCAGCACCA